CAGGCCAACUCAGCAAUGAAAGGGUCCGGUUCUGAGCUUUAGAAGGAAAUGGAGUGACGUAAUAAUGAUCAUCUGAUGCUCUUCAGCCUGGAGAUUUAAUGUCAGAGGCUCCUGGAGUGAGAUUUAACCAGCGGGGCCCCGCGCUCUGGCCUGCCUCAUUUGUUCCACAUGACAUUUCCUCAGUGCAAGGGGCUGCUCCAGAGCUAGUCCUCUGCAGCUCACGGCUGCCUUGGAUCUGGUUUGUGCCUGCGAGGGAGAUCGUCCUGCUCCCGAGCGAAUGACACAGGGGUCUGCAAGGCCAGCUCAGAACGGAGAGAUGCUCAGCAAAGGCCUGCAGGCUUCCAUGGAGGGACUCCGAGGUCACACCUAGCCGCUGGGCUCUGCUCUCUGCAAAACCAAGCCAGGUGCUGCCAGGCCUGGGCAGGAUCAGAACCACCUUCAGCAGCUCCACAACCAGGCUCUGAGUGGGGUGUUGCCUCUGCAGCUCUGCCGUCCCUCUCUCGUGUCCCAUGGGCAGUGCAGUGACCAUCUUCUCCAUCCUUUGUGGGGCCUUUGCCAUGGCCAGCACCAUCACCUCGCUCUGCACAGACUGUUGGCAGAUUAACAGCAAAGGCUCAGUUGUUCUGAGCACCCGGUGCCGUGGCCUCUGGAGAGAAUGUGUCUGGGACAAGUUUGUGAAGAUCUGGACCUGUGAUGUUUUCAGCUCCUACCUGAAUCCACAUCCAGGGCUAGGUGGCACUGCGAGAUAG
This 749-nucleotide long non-coding RNA is filed under the name Chrysemys picta bellii (western painted turtle). RNAcentral describes it as "lncRNA (ENSCPBG00000016169.1)". The record is from RNAcentral. Lineage: Eukaryota; Metazoa; Chordata; Testudines; Emydidae.